GGCCUAAUACAUGCAAGUCGUACGGGAUUCGGUCUUUCGGGACUGAUGAGAGUGGCGCACGGGUGCGUAACGCGUAUGCAACCUGCCCCCUACAGGGGGAUAGCCCGGGGAAACCCGGAUUAAUACCCCAUGUCGACGUGGCCCCGCAUGGGGCCUUGUCGAAGGCCUUCGGGCGGUAGGGGAUGGGCAUGCGUAGGAUUAGUUAGUUGGUGGGGCAACGGCCCACCAAGACUUCGAUCCUUAGGGGUUCUGAGAGGAAGGUCCCCCACACUGGCACUGAGAUACGGGCCAGACUCCUACGGGAGGCAGCAGUAGGGAAUAUUGGGCAAUGGGCGGAAGCCUGACCCAGCCAUGCCGCGUGCAGGAAGACGGCGUUAUGCGUUGUAAACUGCUUUUAUACGGGAAGAAAACGUCCCUGCGGGGGAGAUUGACGGUACCGUGUGAAUAAGCACCGGCUAACUCCGUGCCAGCAGCCGCGGUAAUACGGAGGGUGCAAGCGUUGUCCGGAUUUAUUGGGUUUAAAGGGUGCGUAGGCGGCCCGUUAAGUCAGCGGUGAAAGUUUCCGGCUCAACCGGGGGACUGCCGAUGAUACUGUCGGGCUUGAGUGUCGAUGGGGUACAUGGAAUUUAUGGUGUAGCGGUGAAAUGCAUAGAUACCAUAAGGAACACCGAUAGCGAAGGCAUUGUACUUAUCGACAACUGACGCUGAGGCACGAAAGCGUGGGUAGCGAACAG
This 734-nucleotide ribosomal RNA is filed under the name uncultured soil bacterium. Its description in RNAcentral is "bacterial SSU rRNA". It matches the Rfam family "Bacterial small subunit ribosomal RNA", at positions 45 to 775 of the family's 1533-position model. The record is from RNAcentral.